Molecule: ribosomal RNA, 253 nt
Filed under: uncultured prokaryote
Description: partial 16S ribosomal RNA
Rfam family: Bacterial small subunit ribosomal RNA
Source: RNAcentral
UACGUAGGGUGCGAGCGUUAAUCGGAAUUACUGGGCGUAAAGCGUGCGCAGGCGGUUUUGUAAGCCAGAUGUGAAAUCCCCGAGCUUAACUUGGGAACUGCAUUUGGGACUGCAAGGCUAGAGUACGGCAGAGGGGGGUAGAAUUCCUGGUGUAGCAGUGAAAUGCGCAGAUAUCAGGAGGAACACCAAUGGCGAAGGCAGCUCGCUGGGACGGUACUGACGCUGAGACGCGAAAGCGUGGGGAGCAAACAGG